GCGCACCAGGCGAGAAAACUUCACAAUGUGCGAAAGCACGAUGAGGGAAUCCCAAGUGCUUGCUCGUAAGAGUAAGCUGUUUCUCUGUCUAAAACGCAGAGAGAGUUAGGGCUGGGUAAGACGGGUGCCAGCCGCCGCGGUAAUACCUGCAGCUCGAGUGGUGGCCGCUAUUAUUGGGCCUAAAACGUCCGUAGCCGGUUUAUUAAAUGCCUGGGUAAAUCGGACCGCUUAACGGUUCGAAUUCCGGGUAGACUGAUAAACUUGAGACCGGGAGAAGCUAGAGGUACUCCUGGGGUAGAGGUGAAAUUCUGUAAUCCUAGGGGGACCACCAGUGGCGAAGGCGUCUAGCUAGAACGGGUCUGACGGUGAGGGACGAAGCCCUGGGGCGCAAAC
RNAcentral lists this ribosomal RNA (393 nucleotides) under uncultured microorganism. Its description in RNAcentral is "bacterial SSU rRNA". It matches the Rfam family "Archaeal small subunit ribosomal RNA", at positions 330 to 724 of the family's 1478-position model. The record is from RNAcentral.